UACAGAGGUCCCAAGCGUUGUUCGGAUUCAUUGGGCGUAAAGGGUGCGUAGGCGGCGCCGUAAGUCGGGUGUGAAAUUUCGGAGCUUAACUCCGAAACUGCAUUCGAUACUGGCGUGCUUGAGGACGGGAGAGGAGACUGGAAUUCAUGGUGUAGCAGUGAAAUGCGUAGAGAUCAUGAGGAAGACCAGUGGCGAAGGCGGGUCUCUGGACAGUUCCUGACACUGAGACACGAAGGCCAGGGGAGCAAACGGG
Molecule: ribosomal RNA, 253 nt
Filed under: uncultured bacterium
Lineage: Bacteria
Description: partial 16S ribosomal RNA
Rfam family: Bacterial small subunit ribosomal RNA
Source: RNAcentral